UACAGGGGAUGCGAGUGUUAUCCGGAAUUAUUGGGCGUAAAGCGUUCGUAGAUUGAUAUACAAGUCUUUCGUAAAAAAAUUGGGCUUAACCCAGUAAUCGCGUAAGAUACUAUAUAUCUAGAGUAUAAUAGAGGCAAAGGGAAUUUUCAGUGGAGCGAUGAAAUGUGUAGAUAUUGGAAGGAACACCAAUGGCGAAGGCACUUUGCUGGGUUAUACUGACAUUGAUGAACGAAAGUUGGGGGAGCAAACAGG
Molecule: ribosomal RNA, 252 nt
Filed under: uncultured bacterium
Lineage: Bacteria
Description: partial 16S ribosomal RNA
Rfam family: Bacterial small subunit ribosomal RNA
Source: RNAcentral